UGAGUAACGGCGAGCGAAAAGGGAAGAGCCCAGCGCCGAAGCCCGCUCUCGAGAGGGAGCCGGGCAAUGUGGCGUUUAGGAGUGAGCGUGCCGGCGGUUUGACUCGGCAGCAAGUCCCCCUGACCGGGGCUAUGGACCCAGAGUGGGUGCGAGGCCCAUAGCUGCUAGGUCUCCGUCGGAUGCGAUCUCCUUGGAGUCGGGUUGCUUGGGAGUGCAGCCCUAAUCGGGUGGUAAACUCCACCUAAGGCUAAAUACUACCGUGAGACCGAUAGCAAACAAGUACCGUGAGGGAAAGUUGCAAAGAACUUUGAAGAGAGAGUUCAAGAGUACGUGAAACUGCUCAGAGGUAAACGGGUGGGCCCUCGAAGCCCUGUGGCGGGAGGAUUCAGUUCGUUUGCGGGUGCGCAGAGUCCGACUAGGACAGUACUGACCGCGCGACGCGGCAGGUCGGAACCUCGCGAUCUCCUGCUCUCGGACGCAUUUGUUUUCCCGUCCAAAGGACCCAGCAACCGGUUCGGAAACGGCCUUAAGGGCGAGAAACGGCAGGUGGCCGGUGGCUCCGCCUCGUGCGGGUCGUCGGUUGUUAGCCAUCUCGUCGCACGGCACGUGGCCGGACCGAGGUGUCUCUAUGGCCCUGAAUGGGCUUUCUUCCGCCUCCUCCGUUUAGCCGGAUGCCGGGGAGGAUCGUGGCAGAGGUUCGCACUUCCCAGGGCGCACGGACCGACUCCGUGGCCAGGUGGAAAUGGAAGCGUCCUCGUUAGCCGCUGACGCGCCCGUCGGAGGUU
RNAcentral lists this ribosomal RNA (785 nucleotides) under Micrathena gracilis. Its description in RNAcentral is "eukaryotic LSU rRNA". It matches the Rfam family "Eukaryotic large subunit ribosomal RNA", at positions 80 to 607 of the family's 3401-position model. The record is from RNAcentral. Lineage: Eukaryota; Metazoa; Arthropoda; Arachnida; Araneae; Araneidae.